AGCAGCCGCGGUAAUUCCAGCUCCAAUAGCGUAUAUUAAAGUUGCUGCAGUUAAAAAGCUCGUAGUUGAAUUUCGGGACCAUCAUGUUGGUCGUGCCUCGGUACGUACUGGCAUUGUUGGUUUCUCCCUUCUGACGAACCAUGAUGUCAUUUAUUUGGUGUCGUGGGAAAUCAGGACUGUUACUUUGAAAAAGUUAGAGUGUUUAAAGCAGGCUCACGCUUGAAUACAUUAGCAUGGAAUAAUGAAAUAGGACGUUUGAUUCUAUUUUGUUGGUUUCUAGGAUCGACGUAAUGAUUAAUAGGGAUAGUUGGGGGCAUUAGUAUUCAAUUGUCAGAGGUGAAAUUCUUGGAUUUAUUGAAGACUAACUACUGCGAAAGCAUUUGCCAAGGAUGUUUUCAUUAAUCAAGAACGAAAGUUAGGGGAUCGAAGACGAUCAGAUACCGUCGUAGU
RNAcentral lists this ribosomal RNA (450 nucleotides) under uncultured Glomus. Its description in RNAcentral is "SSU rRNA". It matches the Rfam family "Eukaryotic small subunit ribosomal RNA", at positions 569 to 1024 of the family's 1831-position model. The record is from RNAcentral. Lineage: Eukaryota; Fungi; Glomeromycota; Glomeromycetes; Glomerales; Glomeraceae.